UGUUAGAGCUUUUACUAAUACUGAUUAUAAUUUCAUCACUACUCUGAACCGGAGUCUGAAGAACUAAACCCCUAAAUUAUUUGAACUAAAAAAACCCUAACUUCUCUAAAUUCUUCUCAAAAUAAUUCCAAAACUCCAAAACUUUACGCAAAUGAGAACGUCGGAUCCUGCUUUUCCCGUUCGGCACACCUCGUGCUGUUUAGAUAUCAAUGGGCACAAGACGGAUAUUAUCAUAAGCAGCUACGAAGAUCAUAUUCUCGUCAUGGCAACUCAGAUAGGAAGCAUGGGGACUAUAUUGCAAGCUAGGAAAGAGGGAGGAGGCGUUUCAAUUGAUCCAACUUACAGCGUCUCUGUAGUAUUCGGUAAACGAGACGAGCCCAUGCUCGUCGCUUGUGCUCGACAGUUGAUUGAACAUAUAAGCAACUCUGGAUCAUCGAAAGCAUUAGUCCUGUCCCUUGGUCUGAGAGAUCAUUCAUUGGGGAUAUUGAAGACCAUAGUUGCAGCUGUAACUGAGAAACUUGCUGAGGUAAUUUAACUUGAUUAUCGUGCCAUAUUGUCCUUGUUCGUUGGAAGUCUGCGCGAAUAAAGACCCUCAGUUUUGCAUGUAUCCCGUCGUGUAUGACAUGAAUACUAUCUUCAUUUACAUUUUUCACUUCUAAGUUCUACCCAGAAAAAGUAUGUAAUAUCUGCACAGAAUUUUAUUUGGAAGCUGGAAAUUGCUAAUUGAUCUACAAAAAAACUUAAUUACAAUGCUUGAACACAAAUGGAGUGAUGUCUUAACUUAAAAACAGCAGCAACACACACAGUGACACAUAGCAAACAAAUAACUAGAUCAAACUCACAGCGAACAUGAAACCUCAGCAGCAUUACACCAAAAAUUCAUUGAAAGUAAUAUAUACAGAGGAAAAAUUGCCAAGAGAAAAACAGAGGAUAAUUCAUGCGCUUCCCUUCUUUUCCUUGUCUCUCUCACUAUUCUGGUAUCCUGUCAUCUUUCUUUAGCAUCACAAAUAGUUCUCGUUCCAACUACAAAUUAUCCAACUAGAACAUGUGAGUUCUCAUCGCUACGUGAUAUUUAAACAGGUUUAGGUUUGGGGCAAUUUUGUCCUUUCUACGAAGAACCAAAGACGAACCUGAGUGUUCUUGGCCUUGAGUCUCUGUAGUUCUUCGACCAUACCUCCGACACUGAUAUUCAAAAAUUAAUUCAGCGUGAAACAGCAAAACAUCGUUACAAUCUGUUUCUGCUGAAUGAAAAGCGAUUUUGACAAGAAUUUGGUGAAUUUUUCGACUUGAGCAAACCACUCUACCUGCAAAAGGUCGGUUAUUCCUGCCUCUGUCGACUCACUAGCAUUUCCUGCGAAGAGCAAAUAUCUAAGCUGACGGGGGAAGGUAAAAGAGCAUUGUACGGGCCAAUGCAUAGAUAGUCGUUACCUGAAGUUUGUUCGACAAACUCCAUCAUUUUGAGCACUCCAUCCUGAAAAGAUGAGUAUGAAUAGAUGAGCAACGGAUGAUCGAAUAAGGUGCAAGAGGUUGAGGGAGCUUACUCUUUUUAUUGUAUUAUGCUGCAAUAUGCACUGCAAUGAUUGGAGAACCGAGGCAGUUAAGGUACUAGGAUUUGUUGGGAAUGUGGAACCACCGGAAAUUGAGCUACAGUGGUUCACGGGAUCCUGGAUUUGAUAAGAAACACGAUGGUUACAAACGCCCUCGACUGAAAACAUAGCUAGGUUUAAACCAAGUUAUGUAUAAUUUCAAAGAUGUGCUCAGUUAUGUAUUUCUUUUGAGGGGCAUGUACUUUGUGUUAUAUUCUCCCUCUAUCCUACAAGAGUUACAUUUUUUUGUCAUU
Salvia miltiorrhiza (redroot sage) is the source of this 1840-nucleotide RNA transcript. RefSeq lists it as uncharacterized. The record is from RefSeq and is a predicted model, not a curated record. The transcript is spliced from 8 exons. NCBI's taxonomy places the organism in Eukaryota, Viridiplantae, Streptophyta, Magnoliopsida, Lamiales, Lamiaceae.